Molecule: small RNA, 435 nt
Filed under: Pongo abelii (Sumatran orangutan)
Lineage: Eukaryota; Metazoa; Chordata; Mammalia; Primates; Hominidae
Description: retained intron
Source: RNAcentral
UCGAUUUGAAUUCUUGAUUUUAAUUUAAACUUAGUUUUCAUUUGUUCAUUCUCAACCCACUCAAAAUGAGUGUUUUUUUAAAUCUAUAUAUAGGCCUGAAGCUGCCCAGCAGGCAUUCCAAGGCCUGGGUCCUGGUUUCUCCGGUUACACACCCUAUGGGUGGCUUCAGCUUUCCUGGUUCCAGCAGAUAUAUGCACGACAGUACUACAUGCAAUAUUUAGCAGCCACUGCUGCAUCAGGGGCUUUUGUUCCACCACCAAGUGCACAAGAGAUACCUGUGGUCUCUGCACCUGCUCCAGCCCCUAUUCACAACCAGUUUCCAGCUGAAAACCAGCCUGCCAAUCAGAAUGCUGCUCCUCAAGUGGUUGUUAAUCCUGGAGCCAAUCAAAAUUUGCGGAUGAAUGCACAAGGUGGCCCUAUUGUGGAAGAAGAUGA